GACGAACGCUGGCGGCGUGCUUAACACAUGCAAGUCGAACGGUAAGGCCCUUCGGGGUACACGAGUGGCGAACGGGUGAGUAACACGUGGGUGAUCUACCCUGCACUUCGGGAUAAGCCUGGGAAACUGGGUCUAAUACCGGAUAGGACCACUGCCUGCAUGGGUGGUGGUGGAAAGCUUUUGCGGUGUGGGAUGGGCCCGCGGCCUAUCAGCUUUUUGGUGGGGUGAUGGCCUACCAAGGCGACGACGGGUAGCCGGCCUGAGAGGGUGACCGGCCACACUGGGACUGAGAUACGGCUCAGACUCCUACGGGAGGCAGCAGUGGGGAAUAUUGCACAAUGGGCGCAAGCCUGAUGCAGCGACGCCGCGUGAGGGAUGACGGCCUUCGGGUUGUAAACCUCUUUCAGCGCCGACGAAGCGCAAGUGACGGUAGGUGCAGAAGAAGGACCGGCCAACUACGUGCCAGCCGCCGCCGUAA
This 478-nucleotide ribosomal RNA is filed under the name uncultured bacterium. RNAcentral's name for it is "partial 16S ribosomal RNA". It matches the Rfam family "Bacterial small subunit ribosomal RNA", at positions 28 to 523 of the family's 1533-position model. The record is from RNAcentral.